CUGGCGGCGUGCCUAACACAUGCAAGUCGAACGAGAAAGUGGAGCAAUCCAUGAGUAAAGUGGCGACCGGGUGAGUAACGCGUGACUAACCUACCUCCGAGUGGGGAAUAACUCCGGGAAACCGGGGCUAAUACCGCAUAACAUCGCAAGAUCAAAGCAGCAAUGCGCUUGGAGAGGGGGUCGCGGCUGAUUAGCUCGUUGGCGGGGUAACGGCCCACCAAGGCGAAGAUCGGUAUCCGGCCUGAGAGGGCGCACGGACACACUGGAACUGAAACACGGUCCAGACUCCUACGGGAGGCAGCAGUGGGGAACUUUGCGCAAUGGGGGAAACCCUGACGCAGCAACGCCGCGUGGAGGAUGAAGCCCUUUGGGGCGUAAACUCCUUUCGACUCGGACGAUAAUGACGGUACGAGUGGAAGAAGCACCGGCUAACUCUGUGCCAGCA
RNAcentral lists this ribosomal RNA (445 nucleotides) under uncultured bacterium. RNAcentral's name for it is "bacterial SSU rRNA". It matches the Rfam family "Bacterial small subunit ribosomal RNA", at positions 36 to 513 of the family's 1533-position model. The record is from RNAcentral.